ACUGCUAAGAAACAGUAAUCACACUCUGACUUACUAUAAACGGUUUAUGCAAAAAUGUGCUUAUCAUCACUGAAUAGUUUUGUACAAAGAGGUUUCCCAGUAUAAGUACCUUUCAUAAUAUGUCUAAUAUAACUUCCUCAUAAACUUUUAAAAGUUCCAACCAUAUAAACGCUGGGAGACAUUAUUUCAAAAUUAAAGAAGAACAAUUUUUAAUUAAAAUAGACCAAUUAAAAGAAAUGUUUUGGAAAGGUACAUUGUUUUAAUUUCAUUACAUGCUUGAAACCCAUUUUCCAGUCCUUCAAUGUUGAUUGACUUGGCUAGAUAAAAAUUCAUUAAGGUAGACCUAAGCGAAUGUAGAGAUUUAUGGAGAAAUUAGAUAGUGCUUUC
Non-coding RNA from Schizosaccharomyces pombe (fission yeast), 387 nucleotides. NCBI's taxonomy places the organism in Eukaryota, Fungi, Ascomycota, Schizosaccharomycetes, Schizosaccharomycetales, Schizosaccharomycetaceae. The record is from the annotation of a GenBank genome assembly.